UAGGGAAUCUUCCGCAAUGGGCGAAAGCCUGACGGAGCAACGCCGCGUGAGUGAUGAAGGUCUUCGGAUCGUAAAACUCUGUUAUUAGGGAAGAACAAAUGUGUAAGUAACUAUGCACGUCUUGACGGUACCUAAUCAGAAAGCCACGGCUAACUACGUGCCAGCAGCCGCGGUAAUACGUAGGUGGCAAGCGUUAUCCGGAAUUAUUGGGCGUAAAGCGCGCGUAGGCGGUUUUUUAAGUCUGAUGUGAAAGCCCACGGCUCAACCGUGGAGGGUCAUUGGAAACUGGAAAACUUGAGUGCAGAAGAGGAAAGUGGAAUUCCAUGUGUAGCGGUGAAAUGCGCAGAGAUAUGGAGGAACACCAGUGGCGAUGGCGACUUUCUGGUCUGUAACUGACGCUGAUGUGCGAAAGCGUGGGGAUCAAACAGG
This 429-nucleotide ribosomal RNA is filed under the name Actinomycetes bacterium. RNAcentral describes it as "Actinobacteria bacterium partial 16S ribosomal RNA". It matches the Rfam family "Bacterial small subunit ribosomal RNA", at positions 355 to 776 of the family's 1533-position model. The record is from RNAcentral. Lineage: Bacteria; Bacillati; Actinomycetota; Actinomycetes.